AUUGAACGCUGGCGGCAGGCCUAACACAUGCAAGUCGAGCGGUAGAGAGGUGCUUGCAUCUCUUGAGAGCGGCGGACGGGUGAGUAAUGCCUAGGAAUCUGCCUAGUGGUGGGGGAUAACGUUCGGAAACGGACGCUAAUACCGCAUACGUCCUACGGGAGAAAGCGGGGGGAUCGCAAGACCUCGCGCGAUUGGAGCGGCCGAUAUCAGAUUAGGUAGUUGGUGAGGUAAAGGCUCACCAAGCCGACGAUCUGUAGCUGGUCUGAGAGGACGACCAGCCACACUGGGACUGAGACACGGCCCAGACUCCUACGGGAGGCAGCAGUGGGGAAUUUUGGACAAUGGGCGAAAGCCUGAUCCAGCCAUGCCGCGUGUGUGAAGAAGGUCUUCGGAUUGUAAAGCACUUUAAGUUGGGAGGAAGGGUAGUAACCUAAUACGUUGCUACUUUGACGUUACCGACAGAAUAAGCACCGGCUAACUUCGUGCCAGCAGCCG
RNAcentral lists this ribosomal RNA (495 nucleotides) under uncultured bacterium. RNAcentral describes it as "bacterial SSU rRNA". It matches the Rfam family "Bacterial small subunit ribosomal RNA", at positions 30 to 517 of the family's 1533-position model. The record is from RNAcentral.